This is an RNA transcript of Dama dama (fallow deer), 10934 nucleotides long. It is a transcript of the gene named SH3 binding domain protein 5 like, with no coding region annotated. The transcript is spliced from 8 exons. The record is from RefSeq and is a predicted model, not a curated record. Lineage: Eukaryota; Metazoa; Chordata; Mammalia; Artiodactyla; Cervidae.
UGUAUUUGGUUGGACCAGCUUGUUGCGGGGAGGGCGGGGGAAGAUUGUUUGCAGCGGAGAUCCGCGCACGGGAAGCUCCUCAGAGACUCUUAGCCAGCAGCCUCUGCUCAGGCCCAGCCUUCUCUCUCCAGUUGCCACCACAGCCUGGAGGCGCCUGCCUCCGCCCUCCCGAAUGGUGCUCCUCCUCGCAGGCCUCGGCCCAGGAUCCAGGCCCCCUUUGCCCCCCGCCUCGGAGCUAUUGCUCCGGGUCUCUCCUGGUGGACUCCCUGUGACGGGGAGGGAAGGACUUUUGCAUAUACAAAGCUAUAGCUCUUGGGACCCCACUGGCCACUUGAAUCUCGGCCUCUAACCGAGUCUGAGGUUCUUCUUGUGUCCUGUUUCCACCCUUUGAGAAGAGAAACCCUUCUUGCCACCCAGAGCCCAGGAAGCCCCAAGCUGGGGCCCUGGUCCCAGCAUGUCAGUCCUCUUUUAUGCUUAGGGGCUGUGCCUUCUCCCUGCCAGCAUGGCUGAACUCAGGCAGAUUCCAGGGGGGCGGGAGACCCCACAAGGGGAGCUUCGGCCUGAGGUUGUAGAGGAUGAAGUCCCUCGGAGCCCAGUUGCAGAGGAGCCUGGAGGAGGCGGAAGCAACAGCAGUGAAGCCAAAUUGUCCCCAAGAGAAGAAGAAGAACUGGAUCCUAGAAUACAGGAGGAGCUGGAGCAUCUGAACCAGGCCAGCGAGGAAAUCAACCAAGUGGAGCUGCAGCUGGAUGAGGCCAGAACCACCUACCGGAGGAUCCUGCAGGAGUCAGCAAGGAAGCUCAACACGCAGGGCUCCCACUUAGGGAGCUGCAUCGAGAAGGCCCGGCCCUACUAUGAAGCUCGGCGGCUGGCUAAGGAGGCCCAGCAGGAGACACAGAAGGCAGCACUGCGGUAUGAGCGGGCUGUGAGCAUGCACAACGCUGCCCGGGAGAUGGUGUUUGUGGCUGAGCAGGGCGUCAUGGCUGACAAGAACCGGCUGGACCCCACGUGGCAGGAGAUGCUCAACCACGCCACCUGCAAGGUGAACGAGGCAGAGGAAGAGCGUCUUCGUGGUGAGCGGGAGCACCAGCGGGUGACGCGGCUGUGCCAGCAGGCCGAGGCUCGGGUUCAGGCCCUGCAGAAGACCCUCCGCCGCGCCAUUGGCAAGAGCCGGCCCUACUUUGAGCUCAAGGCCCAGUUCAGCCAGAUCCUGGAGGAGCACAAGGCCAAGGUGACGGAGCUGGAGCAGCAGGUGGCCCAGGCCAAGACCCGUUACUCAGUCGCCCUGCGCAACCUGGAGCAAAUCAGCGAGCAGAUUCAUGCGCGGCGCCGGGGCCAGCCUGCUCAUACCCCGGGCCAGAGGCGCUCCUCUCCAGUGGGGGCGGAGGCUGGGCCUGAUGGUGGCGAGGAUGCGGACAGCGGGAUCAUUGAGGGGGCGGAGGGUGGAGGGCUGGAGGAAGGCGUCAGCCUGGGGCCUGGCCCUGCCCCGGACACCGACACGCUGAGCCUGCUGAGCCUGCGCACUGUGGCUUCGGACCUGCAGAAGUGCGAUUCCGUGGAGCACCUGCGGGGUCUCUCGGACCACACCAGUCUAGAUGGCCAGGAGCUGGGUCCUCGGAGUGGGGGUCGUGGAGGUCGCCACCAGCGCAGUAUCAGCCUGUAACCCCGUGCUCAGGGUGGCUGAUGCAUUCAUACCACCACUGGCCCAAGGAGGGCCCUGCAGGUUCCUAGCUCCCUCUCCUCGGGUCCUUGCUUCCCUCAGAGAGGGCAGGUUGGCUGUGUCUUGAGUCUGUUGUAUAUGUCCUGGCUUUCUCACCUGGCCCUGCCCCCCGCAGGUGGCAGCUCUCUUUGCCUUACCCUUUCAGAAGGCUUAUCUUUGGCUCUGACAUCUCCUUUCCCUGUGUUGGUCCUUCAUAGUCCGUCUGUCUGCUGCCCUCUUUCUGACUUCUGUCUGUUUUUUCCCCCUCAGGGAAAUUUGUCUGGGCGGCACAGGGAAAGCAUCAGAGAAGGUGGGCACUGGAUCUGGGUCCCAGCAUCUUGGUCCCCCCAGCUUGAGUGAAUGGAUGGGUCCCCCUCCCACCUACUCAUCUCCCAGGUGGUUCCUGGGAUGCUGCGGAACCCUCCAGCAGCCCAGCAGCCCAUCCUCUGUCCCAGCCUGCUCGUGGGUAACCUCUAAGAAGUGCUGCAGGACUGUGUGCCUCUGGAAGACACCACCCAUCCCUUCAGUAUUCCCUCCUCAUGACCGAAGCCACCUGUGCCUCAAAGCAGGACUUGAGGGAUACUGGUGUCAGGGAAGGUGAAGCCCAAUCCCAUUGUCAACAGAGGGGACACUACCAACUCCAAACAGGCUCCUGUGUGCGUUGCGUUUCCCCAGCUGGGCUGUGUCCAACAUUGCCAAGGUGCUAGUGGGUCCAUGUUGGGGGGGUGGAGAUGUAGUGAGGUUCUGACGGCUGAAGCUCUUCCCAUUUCUGCUGUGGAGUUAGGUCUGUUUACUUUUUCUGGGUAGAGGAUGCUGAGCCAAAUCUCAGCAUUCUUCUACAGGGUGGAGUUAGGGAAUUUGGUGCUCAAUUGCUCUCCCUCACUCUUCCCGAAACCAAACCAUACCUAGUCCAGGAUCUCUUGGGGGAUGCUCAGGUUUGGCUGCAGAACCUCUGCUGAUACAGGGCAGGGUUGGCCUGCGGUGAGGGAACCCACCCUCCAUAGGGAGCAGUUUCAGGUGUCUGAUGGCACUCCCAUGCUGUGUGGGGGAAAGGCAGGGAAGCUACACUGGAUCUGGGUGCCUUGGGGAACCGAUCCUCCUGUCCCACCCCAGGAGGGCUGAGAGCUGGACUCUGGACAGGAGAAUUUGUGCCUAGGCCUGUGUGCUGCUGCCAUCAACUAGGGGUGGGGGGUGGGGGGUGGGGAGCAGGCCUUCAAAUUGAGGUUGUCUCCCUGUCCCAGGGUUAAAACAGGAUGGUCAUGAUGAGAACUGCCAGGUUUGAGGUGGCCAUGGGUGGAGGGAAAAUGGAGGAGGACGUGGGCGUGCGUGCGUGCAUGCAUGUGCCUGUGUGUAUGGGGGGAAAGGGUCUGCCCCUGAUUUUAUUUAAAUAAAAUAGUUUAUGUAACAGUAUUGUUUAUUGUCCCUUUCAGGGGAGGGAAGAGGAGAAAGGGGUGAAGAUGGAGAGAAGGGAGGAGCAGGGUGAAUGAAGCAAGGUGCAUUUUGAUGGAGUAGUCAGGGAAGGUCUCUUGGGAGGUGAAGGAUGAGAAUGAUCAAACUUCCAGCCAUGAGAGGAGGGAAGGCUUAUGACCACAGGGUUGGGGUGAAUGCACACCAGGUCAGUGCUGUCUGGCAACACUCUCCCCCACCCCCCACAAUCACCAGUCUGCAAGCCAGGAAGGGAUCUCUGCAGGGUGGAGUGGGUGUGUCAGCCACUGGUGGUAUAGAUGAGAUGGUGCUGCCAAUCCUGGACAUGAGCAUAAAUAAAGGGGAGGGACAAGUAGGAUUAUGGCAUUUAGCAAAUAUACAGGGUGCCCAGUUAAACUUGAGUUCCAGAUAAGACAGUAUUUUUGCCUCCCUGCAGUGUUUAGGACAUACGUGUUGUCAAUUGUCUGAAAUUAAAAUUUAACAUAGGUAAAAGGUGACUUUCAAGUCAGGGCUUGACCUGUUGUGGAUCAGGAGGAGUUUGAGUACGUUUGGACCGGCAGCCUGUGAAACAUCUGGUGGAGUCAGGUUGGGGAAAAGAUAAGAACUUCAAAAGCUGCGGAGGUGGAGUGAAGGCUUUCAACUGAGCCCUACCAGAGGUGAGCCUGCAUUUAUAACCAGCUGAGGACCAAGUCAACUGAGGGAUGGAGAAGAUGCUAACAGGGAGGAGGAAGGGGAGAAACUGAGUGGGAAAUGGGUAUCUUGACCUUUAAGGGGCAAGGUGAAGGCCAGCAGUUAAAGGGACAGGAGGGCAGAGGAGUGACCCUGGUGAUCUUAGAUGGUAGAUAGGCCAUUAGGAGCCACUAUGUACCCUUUGACAAGAUUGUCCAGGUGUGAGACUGCCUUCCUGACCUGACUUCUUAAUUGAGAAAUAAAUGCAAUAAGGUAGUUGGGGGCCAAAUACUUGCUUUAUCACUGGAAAAGCUGCUCUGAGUAUAUGGCCUGUGUCCUUGGCCAAGUGGGUCCAGGGUCCUGCUUCCCUAUGCAGUCUAUGGCAGUGUGGGACCUGUAAGGCUUCUCAUUCAAAGGAGCCCCCAAAAGAAGGGCUGGCCAUGCCUACCAGUUUCUCUGUGCAAGAUCACCUACUAGAUGAGGCAAUAGUGGAGAGAGAACGGGAGGGUUAACACUAAUGGUUGAGCAGGGCAAAUGUGCCCACAGCCCUAUUGUAAGAGUAGUGGAUUGCACUGUGUGUCCCACGUACCAGGCAUAUGCAUUGACCCAUGUAGCACCAUGACCACAUUAAAGGGUAGAUAUCACCACUAUUGCCUUUUCAUAGAUGAGAAUACAGGCACAGUAGGGGUGCCCAGUCCUCUGCGCUUAUCCUUAUAGAAGGUAAUGGAGGCAGUUGGACUUUAGAGCAAGGGUCCCCAACCCCUGGGCCAUGGACCAGUACCGGUCUGUGGUCUGUUAGGAACCAGGCCACACAGCAGGAAGUGAGCAGCUUUGCUCUCGAGUCCAAACUCUUCAGCCUUUGAGUGAAGGUGCCAAAAGGAACUAGAGGUGAGAAAGUAGAGGGAAUAGUGUAGUCAACUCUUAGGAAGUUUUACUGGGAAGACAGAAAGCUGGGAACUGUCAGGAUGGUCAAAGGAAAUUAAAGUAAGCAAGAGAUGGUGAAGUAAUGGGGAUCUGGAGCCUUCUCCAUUUUUGUACCAUGUUACAUCAUGGUCAUAGUGAUAAUGACUUGUGAGUUAUGGCCUCCUCAAGUGAGCAAUGGGGCCUCAGUCUCCCUGGCACCCAUCACCUAAUAAAUGUGCUUUUGUGUCUCCCUGCCGUGAUCCAAAUCUAUAGCAGGUUAUAGGUGGUCCCUGACCUACAAUAAUUUUUUUUGAUUUUUUGACUACAAUGAUGAGAAAGCUAUACACAUUCAGUAGAAACUACUUCAGAUUUUGAGUUUUGUUGAUUUUUUUCACCUGGGGUUAGUGGUGUGUGGUAUGAUACUCUUGUGAUGCUGGACAGCGACCACAAGCUGUAGUUCCCAGUCAGCUGCAUGAUCAUGAGGGUGGACAACUGAUACACAUAGAACCAUUCUAUACUCAUACAGGCAUUCUGUUUUCCACUUUCAGUACAGUAUUCAAUAGGGGCUUCCCUGGUGGCUCAGGCGUAAGAAUCCGCAUGCAAUGCAGGAGAUGUGGGUUCAGUUCCUAGGUCGGGAAGAUCCCCUGGAUAAGGAAAUGGUAACCCAUUCCAAUAUCCUUGCCUGGGUAAUCCAUGGAUAGAAGAGUGGCAGACUACAGUCCAUGGGGUUGGAAAGAGUUGGACAUGACUUAGUGACUAAACAACAACAGUAUUCAAUAAACUACAUGAGUGUUUAAUAUUUUAUUAUAAAAUAGUCUUGUGUUAGAUGUUUUUGCCCAAUUGUAGGCUAAUGUAAGUGUUCUGAGCACAUUUAAGGUAGUUUAGGCUAAGCUAUGAUGUUCAAUCGGUUAAGUGUAUCAAAGUGCAUUUUUCACUUAGGAUAUUUUCUACUUGUGAUGGGUUUGUCAGGAUGUACCCUCCAUUGUAGGUCUAGGAAAAUCUAUACUUUGUUAAUACUGCAGUUAGGAGAUAGGGAUCUGUAUCUAUGGUCCUAGAAACUCCACAUCUCCAGGGGGUGGUUUUCAAAUUUAUGCUUCAAUUUUAUGACCUGUAUGAUGAGAAAAUCUAGAUGUGUUCAGUACAAUGCCAGAUCAGUGAUCCAUGUUAGCAGUUCUCUGAAGCUUCAUAAUGCAAUGAAAUUCACAAAGGGAGCCCUCUUCCCAUCUUGUGCCAAACCAGGAGGCCCUUUAUAAAGAUCCCACUGAAGGUUGGAUUUCCCCAUUUGGAUGUGAUUUUUGUAGUCUUCCUUACUCUGCCUUGCAUGUGGCAGGUAGAUGGGCUUCUUGGGCUGUUAUGGUCCUGCUCUGUCAGUAGGGGGCAGCAACCACCAGGAAGCCAGCGAAGUGAGCUCUUGGAUCUCCAGCUCUGCAGCAUUAUUGCGUUAGUCCUGCAGCAUUACGACGCUCGCCUCCUGGGCACUGGGCAGCAGGGACUGGGAGCAGUGGGGUGUGGGUUGGGGUCCAUACCCACGAGUUGAACCUUGGCUGUCCCCAUAUGGGCCUCUUGCCUUCCGGCUUGUCUUGGAAUCAGCAACUGGGUGAAAGCUGGGGCGAGUCUGCUGUGGGGCAUGUCGUUUGAGACCACAUGUUCUAUGCCUGUUGAAAUACUAGUGUCUCUUCUUAGAGCUCACUUCUUUUAUUUUCCUUUCUAGUGUUCUGGCCCUUUCCCUCCCUCACCCUUUUUCCACAUUACCCUCUUGGGAAAUCCCAUUGACUUUUCCCACCACACUGUGUCAUAGCCUAAACUAAGGGAACAAGGGGACCAUUUCACUGGUUGGCGAAAGUCCAUGUGAUUUAUUAAGAAAUAUUUGGGCUUCCCAGGUGGCAUUGGUGGUAAAGAACCCACCUGCCAAAGCAGGAGAUGUAAGAAACGGAAGUUCAAUUCCUGGGUUGGGAAGAUCCCCUGGAGAAGAGCAGGGCAACCCACUCCAGUAUUCUUGCCUGGAGAAUCCCAUGGACAGAAGAGCCUGGUGGGUUACAGUCCAUAGGAUCACAAAGAGUUGGACACAACUAAAGCAACUUAGCACAAGAAAUAUUUACCAGGAUCUUCCAGGUUGCCAAACACUGGUAGGGCUUGUUAGGAACACAGAAAAUAUACCAUGGGUCAGACAUACAGGUAAGGAAUACAGGGGUACACUUAGCUAAUAGAUGAUGCAGGGCAGUAAAAUAACAGAUCAUUAAAGAGGGAUGCAGUCAAGAACGCUCUGGGAGGUUAGUCGAGCUGAGGAUACUCAAGUUCUGAACCAGCCUCUGGCCUUUGGCUGGAGAUGGUAGCAGGAAGACCCACCGCACCCCCGUGCCCCCGCCUUCCAGUCCUCCCGUCCCUAUGCUUCACUCUUCUGAAAUCUGGCCUGAGCUUUUCUAGCCUGGGCCUGUGUCACCCCCAUGUUGGUGUUCUCAGGGCCUGGCUCAUGGCACUCUCCACUGAACAUUUGCCCCACAGGCUUGCUUAUACUCAUGCUACUCUUUGCAUACAUUUCCGCCCUGCUUAACUUAGAUUUCUGCCUGUGGCUUGAGGCCCAGCUCAUGUGGAAUUUUGACCAAAGGCCUUUCAGGUUUCCUAGCUUUCCAGCCAAGUCUGAAUUAAUCCUACCACCCAAGUUCCACAAGGCUCUUCUGACUUAAUGCAGCACUGGUCCAAUGUCACCCCUGGGGUCUUUCCUGACUCCAUCUUACUCAGUACAUAACAUAAUACAAUAGACAUUGUGACUAUAUGUUACUCAAUACAGUGAUUCUAUGUCAUGUAUGGUCUAAAGUGGGAUACUUGAGGGAAUUCCCUGCAGUCUAGUGGCUGGAACUCCAUGAUUCCACUGCAGGGGGCGCGGGUUUCACUCCCGGUCAGAGAACUAAGACCCUGAAACCCACAUGGCAAAAAAAAAAAAGAAAAAAAAGGAGACUUGAGUGUGAAAGGGGGGAAGAUGUGACCCAAGACUGAAAGGUACUGAUCCCACUGUCCACAGAGGGCUGUCAUUGACUUGCCUUUGCCAGAAGGGGCUGUGUGCACAUUGCAUGAGCAACUUAGCUUCUCUGGGAUUUGGUGUUCCAGUCUGCAAGAAGUGGGUCUGAACUGGGUAGAUAAUCUCUGAGGUUAUCAGAAACACUGAAAUUAUAUGACCAGUGAAGGAGACUGGGCCUGUCAGAGAUGUUUCGGUGGAGGAUGUGAUACAGUGAAUGUGUUGGGGUCAGCGCAUGAGAACUCCAAGACUAGGGUUGAUUAAGGCCUAACCCAGAGUUAGUGGAAAGAUGCUGGACAUUUCUGUUUUGAGUAUGAGGAGAUGACUGUCCAUUGUGGUCAAGGAACUUGGAAUGGUGGGCAGUGGUUUCUCCUUCCCCAUGUGAGGCAGGUGGUGGUUGCAACACAACAGGGACAUAUCAGCUUAUUCAUCGAUGUAGGUCAGAAGAGAGGGUGGAAAAAUGAUUUUUUUCCCUCAUUUAGGACAGGGGAUCAUUGUGACCUAGGAUGGGAUAAAGGUCAGAGCUGUGGAGUUUGGCAAGACAAGGCAAACUCUUCUUUCCUCAGUUGCUGCUUCAUCUCACAUGCUUUCUGUCCUUUUUCUUCUCUCCUUAUGAUUUCCAUGACAACAUUAGAAGGGCAGGGUCCUCUCCAUAUCCAACAGGAGGGAAUUUCAUUCUUGCCUUCUCCAGAGGUGAUGCAGGAAUUCUUACAAGUGUUGUGGGGCUGUGGGAGUAGUGAUUUGUGGAAGCUCCUGGCAUGAAAGGCUUCCUGGCUUUUAGGACUUGCCGCUAUUUAGGGGGAAGAUGAGAGGCCCUCACCUAACAUCACUCUCCCUCCUUCUAACCUCAGUGUUGCUGCUGUGGUUUCAGCCUCCCACUCUUCUUGGAGAGAGAAGCCAGAAACCCACCUGCCCCUUUACCCCUGGGUGUGUGUGUGCGUGCUGAGUCACUUCAGUUGUGUUCAACUCUUUUCAAUGCUAUAGACCAUAGCCCACCAGGCUUCUCUGUCCAUGGGAUUCUUCAGGCAAGGGUACUGGAGUGGAUUAUCAUGCCCUUCUCCAGGGGAUCUUCCUGACACAGGGAUCAAACCCUUGUCUUAAGUAUCUCCUGCAUUGGCAGGUGGGUUCUUUACGACUAGCGCCAUCUGGGAAGACCAAACCCCUGGGUGGGAGUGUGCACUCCUGCUCUCCUCCCAUUUGUCCUUCUUCUAGCUGAUCCUUACUCAACCCCUGCUUUCAUGUUGGACAGGAUUUCCAAGACUUCUAAUUACAAGUCACUGCUGCUCUCUCAAACAGUUGUACUUAGCAUUCGGACUGUGGCUACCCAGUUGGAAGGGACCCGUCAAGAAAGGCAUGAGGCCUUAGGAUGGUCACCCUUAGAGAGGAAAGCUAUGUGUUCACAGCACCAACAAAAACCAAACUCAAGGUUAAAGAAAAUUGCAGCCAGGGUGAAUUCAAGACAUAGGCAGAGCCCAUGGAAGACAUAGAGGAGAGAGGUUGCCAUCCCAGGAAAUUCUUGCAUUCUUUCUUGGAAGUAGCUAUUCUAUUACCAGAAGAGGACCAAGGGGGAUGUUCCUUAGGACAUGCCCAAGGACCUUUUGGCAGUUCUGCACAAAGAGGAUUUAAUUGCCUGAGGAUUUGUAUGCUGGAACCCAAUCAAAGCUGAACAAGCCACUUUUUAAUCAAAACAGUGUUGUUUUCAUGAGUUCUUACGGGAUCUAAGAAUUUUGUGCAUGAAAAUGUCAGUGCACUGAGAAAAGAAAAAAUAUUUGCUUCUCACCUGUCCUUCACCUUAAACAUAGCUCAGUAGGGAGAUAUCACCCAGAGACUCUGGCCCAAAGAGGAUUCUUCUAGAAACCUUGUUCCUAAAGUAGAUUUGUCAGACAAGCAGCAUAAAUAUCACCUGGAACUUGUUAGAAAUGUGUGUUCUCAGGCCCCAGCAUUCCAGACGUACUGAAUCAGAAAUUCUGGGGGUGGCACCAGGACCUACUAAACAAGCCCUCCACAUGAUUCUGGUGCUCCCUGGAGCCUAAUAGAAAGGUAUAAGGGAUGUGUUAAAUGCAUGUGGGGGUCCUUAGAUUUGCACUUCAUUUACCUUUUAUUUGCCAAAAUGAGUAACUUGGCCUAACUUUAAAGGAGUGGGAAGUACAAUUUACAGUGUGCCCUGGAAGUGGGAGUUCUGGGUGUUUUAGGCCAUGUAUGUGCAUGUGUGCUAAGUUGCUUCAGUUGUAUCCUACUCUUUGUGAUUGUAUGGGCCAUAGUCUGCCAGGCUCCUCUGUUCAUGGGAUUCUCCAGGCAAGAAUACUGGAAUGGGUUGCCUUGCCCUCCUCCAGGGGAUCUUCCUGACCCAGGGAUCAAACCUGUGUCUCUCAUGUCUACCUGCAUUGGCAGGUGGGUUCUUUACCACUGGCACCAACUGGGAAGCCCAUUUUAGGCCAUAGAUAGUGUUAAGUAACAAAAAUUCAACUGGGUAAGUUUCCAAGAUCUAAUUGGCUUUAUUGAAUGAAUCGUCAAUCACUCAGCAUCUCAUCUAGCAAGCAGAAAAGGGCUGCAGGAUUGGAAGAAUUAAUAGUCUUAAAAUGGUCAUACUACCCAAAGCAACAAAGGUUCGUCUAGUCAAAGCUGUGGUUUUUCCAGUAGUCAUGUAUGGAUGUGAGGGUUGGACCAUAAAGAAAGCUGAGUGCCAAAGAACUGAUGCUUUUGAACUGGUGUUGGAGAAGACUCUUGAGAGUCCCUUGGACUGCAAGGAGAUCCAAGCAGUCAAUCCUAAAGGAAAUUGGUCCUGAAUAUUCAUUGGAAGGACUGAUGCUGAAGCUGAAGCUUCAAUACUUUGGCCACCUGAUGCAAAGAACCGACUCAUUGGAAAAGACCCUGAUGCUGGGAAAGAUCGAAGGCGGGAGGAGAAGGGGACAACAGAGGAUGAGCUGGUUGGAUGGCAUCACCAAUGCGAUGGACAUGAGUUUGAGUAAGCUCCAGGAGUUGGUGAUGGACAGGGAGGCCUGGCAUGCUGCAGUCCGUGGGGUCGCAAAGAGUCAGACAUGACUGAGUAACUGAACUGACCCAAAGCAAUCUACAGAUUUGAUGUGAUCUUUGUCAAAUUACCCAUGACAUUUUUCACAGAACUAGAACAAAUAAUCCUAAAACUUAUAUGGAACCAUAAAAGACCCAAAAUUUCCAGUGGAAUCCUGAAGAAAAAGAACAAAGUAGGAGGCAUAACCCUCCCAGACU